UACGUAGGGCGCAAGCGUUAUCCGGAAUUAUUGGGCGUAAAGAGCUCGUAGGCGGUUUGUCGCGUCUGCCGUGAAAGUCCGGGGCUCAACUCCGGAUCUGCGGUGGUUACGGGCAGACUAGAGUGAUGUAGGGGAGACUGGAAUUCCUGGUGUAGCGGUGAAAUGCGCAGAUAUCAGGAGGAACACCGAUGGCGAAGGCAGGUCUCUGGGCAUUAACUGACGCUGAGGAGCGAAAGCAUGGGGAGCGAACAGG
This 253-nucleotide ribosomal RNA is filed under the name uncultured bacterium. RNAcentral describes it as "partial 16S ribosomal RNA". It matches the Rfam family "Bacterial small subunit ribosomal RNA", at positions 524 to 776 of the family's 1533-position model. The record is from RNAcentral.